Non-coding RNA from Ciona intestinalis (vase tunicate), 565 nucleotides. The record is from RefSeq and is a predicted model, not a curated record. Lineage: Eukaryota; Metazoa; Chordata; Ascidiacea; Phlebobranchia; Cionidae.
ACUAUAUUUUUUACGAUAUCUCUGUGUUCAAUUAAGGGGAACGCUUGAUUGAAUAAAGCAAGAAAAAGGUCACGUCGGCGACUUUACUUUGGGAAGACUUGCUUGAACGUUUCAAAACAGUUUGUUUAAUCUGUUGAAAGGUUUUACUAAGGAACAAAUAUGAUUGGCCGACUUUCCACAGUAGUUGUAAGACGAGGUUUUUCUCAAUCAGCCGUCAGAGCUGGGGGCCAUGGACCACCCACAGCACAAGACAUGCUACCUUUCAAUCCGUUCCAAAACAAAUGGAAAUUGAUGGUAAAGAUGGGAUUUUUUAUCGGAAGUGGAUUCUUUUUGCCAUUCUACACCGUGUACAGCAAUUUGAAGAACCAAGCCGAGUCUACUUAACUUUUAAUGUGCUAUGUAUCAAUUUUGAAUGUUUUCAAGAAAUCUAAAUUUUGUUCCACAGUUCUGUUUGAAUAAAAAUGGUUUAAUUAAAAAUGAAUUAUGUGAAUAGCAAUAGAAGAAAGAUUCCGGGUGUUGGGGCCAAACAUAUUUUCUGCACAAUAAAAAUGUUCCUACAAAAAUA